RNAcentral lists this non-coding RNA (419 nucleotides) under Streptomyces venezuelae ATCC 10712. Its description in RNAcentral is "Bacterial small subunit ribosomal RNA". It matches the Rfam family "Bacterial small subunit ribosomal RNA", at positions 9 to 430 of the family's 1533-position model. Lineage: Bacteria; Bacillati; Actinomycetota; Actinomycetes; Kitasatosporales; Streptomycetaceae. The record is from Rfam by way of RNAcentral.
GAGUUUGAUCCUGGCUCAGGACGAACGCUGGCGGCGUGCUUAACACAUGCAAGUCGAACGAUGAAGCCCUUCGGGGUGGAUUAGUGGCGAACGGGUGAGUAACACGUGGGCAAUCUGCCCUUCACUCUGGGACAAGCCCUGGAAACGGGGUCUAAUACCGGAUAACACCGGCUUCCGCAUGGGAGCUGGUUGAAAGCUCCGGCGGUGAAGGAUGAGCCCGCGGCCUAUCAGCUUGUUGGUGGGGUAAUGGCCUACCAAGGCGACGACGGGUAGCCGGCCUGAGAGGGCGACCGGCCACACUGGGACUGAGACACGGCCCAGACUCCUACGGGAGGCAGCAGUGGGGAAUAUUGCACAAUGGGCGAAAGUCUGAUGCAGCGACGCCGNNNNNNUAGGUGGGAGACUUUGAAGCCGUGACG